RNAcentral lists this ribosomal RNA (254 nucleotides) under uncultured bacterium. RNAcentral describes it as "partial 16S ribosomal RNA". It matches the Rfam family "Bacterial small subunit ribosomal RNA", at positions 524 to 776 of the family's 1533-position model. The record is from RNAcentral.
UACGUAGGCAGCGAGCGUUGUUCGGAGUUACUGGGCGUAAAGGGUGUGUAGGCGGUUGUUUAAGUUUGGUGUGAAAUCUCCCGGCUCAACUGGGAGGGUGCGCCGAAUACUGAAUGACUUGGAGUGCGGGAGAGGAGAGUGGAAUUCCUGGUGUAGCGGUGAAAUGCGUAGAUAUCAGGAGGAGCACCGGUGGUGUAGACGGCUCUCUGGACCGUAACUGACGCUGAGACACGAAAGCGUGGGUAGCAAACAGG